This 494-nucleotide ribosomal RNA is filed under the name uncultured bacterium. Its description in RNAcentral is "partial 16S ribosomal RNA". It matches the Rfam family "Bacterial small subunit ribosomal RNA", at positions 28 to 507 of the family's 1533-position model. The record is from RNAcentral.
GACGAACGCUGGCGGCGCGCUUAACACAUGCAAGUCGAACGGAAAGGCCUGCUUUCCCUUGUGGAUUGCGGGUACUCGAGUGGCGAACGGGUGAGUAACACGUGAGUGAUCUGCCCCCAACUUGGGUAUAAGCCUGGGAAACUGGGUCUAAUUCCCGAUAGGACUGCAGGGUGGUGCCUGUGGUGGAAAACGACUUUCUAGUGGUUGGGGAUGAGCUCGCGGCCUAUCAGCUUGUUGGUGGGGUAAUGGCCUACCAAGGCGGCGACGGGUAGCCGGCCUGAGAGGGUGGACGGCCACAUUGGGACUGAGAUACGGCCCAGACUCCUACGGGAGGCAGCAGUGGGGAAUAUUGCACAAUGGGCGGAAGCCUGAUGCAGCGACGCCGCGUGGGGGAUGACGGCCUUCGGGUGGUAAACUCCUUUCGACCGCGAGGAAGCCACCUGGUUGGAAGGGUGGUGACGGUAGUGGUAGAAGAAGCACCGGCUAACUACGUG